UACAGUGAUCAGGUUACGAAGGA
This 23-nucleotide microRNA is filed under the name Ophiophagus hannah (king cobra). RNAcentral describes it as "oha-miR-1329-5p". Lineage: Eukaryota; Metazoa; Chordata; Lepidosauria; Squamata; Elapidae. The record is from miRBase by way of RNAcentral.